Molecule: non-coding RNA, 69 nt
Organism: Ictidomys tridecemlineatus (thirteen-lined ground squirrel)
Lineage: Eukaryota; Metazoa; Chordata; Mammalia; Rodentia; Sciuridae
Source: Rfam
GGGGUUGUGGCUCAGUGGUAGAGUGCUUGCCUAGGAUGUGUGAAGGACUGGGUUCGAUUCUCAGCACCA